AGUCAAUAGAUACCCUGGUAGUCCACGCCGUAAACGAUGUCGACUUGGAGGUUGUGCCCUUGAGGCGUGGCUUCCGGAGCUAAACGCGUUAAGUCGACCGCCUGGGGAGUACGGCCGCAAGGUUAAAACUCAAAUGAAUUGACGGGGGCCCGCACAAGCGGUGGAGCAUGUGGUUUAAUUCGAUGCAACACGAAGAACCUUACCUACUCUUGACAUCCAGAGAACUUAGCAGAGAUGCUUUGGUGCCUUCGGGAACUCUGAGACAGGUGCUGCAUGGCUGUCGUCAGCUCGUGUUGUGAAAUGUUGGGUUAAGUCCCGCAACGAGCGCAACCCUUAUCCUUUGUUGCCAGCGGUUAGGCCGGGAACUCAAAGGAGACUGCCAGUGAUAAACUGGAGGAAGGUGGGGAUGACGUCAAGUCAUCAUGGCCCUUACGAGUAGGGCUACACACGUGCUACAAUGGCGCAUACAAAGAGAAGCGACCUCGCGAGAGCAAGCGGACCUCAU
RNAcentral lists this ribosomal RNA (505 nucleotides) under uncultured bacterium. Its description in RNAcentral is "bacterial SSU rRNA". It matches the Rfam family "Bacterial small subunit ribosomal RNA", at positions 774 to 1277 of the family's 1533-position model. The record is from RNAcentral.